Molecule: long non-coding RNA, 643 nt
Filed under: Carica papaya (papaya)
Lineage: Eukaryota; Viridiplantae; Streptophyta; Magnoliopsida; Brassicales; Caricaceae
Description: long non-coding RNA (CPAP_LNC015063)
Source: RNAcentral
CCAAACCCUAACCUUAGCCGCCAGAGCCCCUUGCCGAAGACGACAGCACAGCCGCCGGGGAGCCGACCGCCGCCACCCGCCGCCGUACCGGAGCAAUUUUCGGCCGCCAAAUGAGGUUGACCGGAGCAAAAAAUCCAACCGCAACGUGAGCCGGAGGAGCCGCUGCACCAGAGAGCCCAACCGCCGGUGAGUUUCGGUUUUCUACGUUUUUCAGGCCCACCGAGGGCCCUAAGUGUGUUUUCUCACAAGAACUGAUGCAAGUUUCGCUGAAUUCGGCCGAAAACGGCCAAAAACAGUCAAUCCGAGGUGGAUCGCCGCCGUGAGCUGUCGCUGGAGCACGGCGGAGCCGCUGUGCCGAAAUUCUAAAAUUGGUUGAGUAGGUCCUGGGUCUGAUUUUUGGGUUAUUUGGGACAUGUGUAGGUACCGUAAGCGCGUUUCUCUUCCCGUGGAAAAAAUUCAGGGAACCCAGGAACCGCACGUAAGCGCACUGACAAUCUAGUUUGAUAUUAUUCUCUGUCGAUUCCUGUUUGAUUUAUUUUACAGUUUAAAUGCAUUAUGAUAUAUGUUUUAUCUAUUCUAUGGUUUUAAAUGCAUGUAUCACUGCUUACUUCACUACUGUUUGAUUUUGGAAUUUACAAUAUGA